GAUGAACGCUAGCUACAGGCUUAACACAUGCAAGUCGAGGGGCAGCGGGAUUGAAGCUUGCUUUCUCGCCGGCGACCGGCGCACGGGUGCGUAACGCGUAUCGAACCUACCCUUUACUCGGGGAACAGCCUUGCGAAAGCAAGAUUAAUGCCCGAUGUUCCGCGUUUGCUGCAUGGCAAAUUCGGCAAAGAUUUAUUGGUAAAGGAUGGCGAUGCGUCCCAUUAGUUAGUUGGCGGGGUAACGGCCCACCAAGACGACGAUGGGUAGGGGUUCUGAGAGGAAGGUCCCCCACAUUGGAACUGAGACACGGUCCAAACUCCUACGGGAGGCAGCAGUGAGGAAUAUUGGUCAAUGGGCGCAAGCCUGAACCAGCCAAGUAGCGUGCAGGAUGACGGCCCUAUGGGUUGUAAACUGCUCUCAGUCGGGAAUAACUCGUCGGUCGUGACCGACGUUGCAGGUACCGUCAUAAGAAGGACCGGCUAAUUCCGUG
Molecule: ribosomal RNA, 490 nt
Filed under: uncultured bacterium
Lineage: Bacteria
Description: bacterial SSU rRNA
Rfam family: Bacterial small subunit ribosomal RNA
Source: RNAcentral